Molecule: ribosomal RNA, 416 nt
Filed under: uncultured bacterium
Lineage: Bacteria
Description: bacterial SSU rRNA
Rfam family: Bacterial small subunit ribosomal RNA
Source: RNAcentral
AUAUUGGUCAAUGGGCGAGAGCCUGAACCAGCCAAGUCGCGUGAGGGAGUACUGCCCUAUGGGUUGUAAACCUCUUUUGUCGGGGAGCAAAAGCCGGACGUGUCCGGCUGUGAGAGUACCCGAAGAAAAAGCAUCGGCUAACUCCGUGCCAGCCGCCGCGGUAAUACGGAGGAUGCGAGUGUUAUCCGGAUUUAUUGGGUUUAAAGGGUGCGCAGGCGGAUUUUUAAGUCAGCGGUCAAAUCGUGGGGCUCAACCCCAUCCAGCCGUUGAAACUGGGGAUCUAGAGUGUGCGAGAGGUAUGCGGAAUGCGUGGUGUAGCGGUGAAAUGCAUAGAUAUCACGCAGAACCCCGAUUGCGAAGGCAGCAUACCGGUGCACAACUGACGCUCAGGCACGAAAGCGUGGGUAUCGAACAGG